RNAcentral lists this ribosomal RNA (449 nucleotides) under uncultured bacterium. RNAcentral's name for it is "partial 16S ribosomal RNA". It matches the Rfam family "Bacterial small subunit ribosomal RNA", at positions 29 to 523 of the family's 1533-position model. The record is from RNAcentral.
AACGAACGCUGGCGGCAGGCUUAACACAUGCAAGUCGAACGCAUCCUUCGGGGUGAGUGGCAGACGGGUGAGUAACGCGUGGGAACGUGCCCUUCAGUUCGGGAUAACCCAGGGAAACUUGGGCUAAUACCGGAUACGUGCGAGAGCAGAAAGAUUUAUCGCUGAAGGAUCGGCCCGCGUCUGAUUAGCUAGUUGGUGGGGUAAUGGCCCACCAAGGCGACGAUCAGUAGCUGGUCUGAGAGGAUGAUCAGCCACAUUGGGACUGAGACACGGCCCAAACUCCUACGGGAGGCGGCAGUGGGGAAUAUUGGACAAUGGGCGCAAGCCUGAUCCAGCCAUGCCGCGUGAGUGAUGAAGGCCUUAGGGUUGUAAAGCUCUUUCCUCCGGGACGAUAAUGACGGUACCGGAAGAAGAAGCCCCGGCUAACUUCGUGCCAGCAGCCGCCGUAA